UACGUAGGUGGCAAGCGUUGUCCGGAUUUACUGGGCGUAAAGCGCGCGCAGGCGGCCUGUUAAGUCUGCUGUAAAAUCUCCCGGCUCAACCGGGAGGAGCCAGCGGAUACUGGCAGGCUUGAGGCAAGCAGAGGAAGGUGGAAUUCCCGGUGUAGUGGUGAAAUGCGUAGAUAUCGGGAGGAACACCAGUGGCGAAGGCGGCCUUCUGGGCUUGUCCUGACGCUGAGGCGCGAAAGCGUGGGGAGCGAACCGG
Molecule: ribosomal RNA, 253 nt
Filed under: uncultured bacterium
Lineage: Bacteria
Description: partial 16S ribosomal RNA
Rfam family: Bacterial small subunit ribosomal RNA
Source: RNAcentral